AUGGCAUAUUUUUAUUUUAUUUUAUAUAUACUUGCCGUAUCCCCGAAUGGCUGUUUUUGGAAAAUGUCGUAUCCCGUAUUCCCGUAUCCGUAUCCCCGUCUUUCCGUCCCUGUGUCUGUGCUUUUUAGCCAGACGUUACUUGACUUCCUGCAAUGCAAAGCGGUAACUUUCGCUAGCAUCGACACCAGGAGCGACAAGACCAUGCUGGCCCGUGCAUGGAUUAAAAUUCCAGACGAGUACCACGUCGACAUCCAGAGGCAAUUCUGUAUCAAGGGCAGUGGAGAAAGGGACUCCAUGGCUGACCUUGCAGCGGCCAUCACCGACCCCUCCUACAAGAACAUGAAGAAAUCAUUCCCAAAGGAGAAGCACCAGUUCUGGGAGUGGAAGCCGCUAUCCCCGCUACACCUUGAGUACGCAACAAAAGACGGGUAUGUUAGCUACGAGUUAUACCGUAGAAUCCUAAUCAUCAAGAACGGACUACGUCACCUCCACCAACAACCAAUGAAGGAAAGACUCCGCCCACGUAAGAACAAAGACGACGGAUCUACCAACGGCUGGAAGCGCAAGAAGGGAAACAGUUGUUGGUAA
Molecule: ribosomal RNA, 588 nt
Filed under: Triticum aestivum (bread wheat)
Lineage: Eukaryota; Viridiplantae; Streptophyta; Magnoliopsida; Poales; Poaceae
Description: partial small subunit ribosomal RNA
Source: RNAcentral